RNAcentral lists this ribosomal RNA (289 nucleotides) under Blastocystis sp. Its description in RNAcentral is "partial small subunit ribosomal RNA". It matches the Rfam family "Eukaryotic small subunit ribosomal RNA", at positions 42 to 348 of the family's 1831-position model. The record is from RNAcentral. Lineage: Eukaryota; Bigyra; Opalinata; Blastocystidae.
GAUUAAGCCAUGCAUGUGUAAGUGUAAAUGUUUAAGUUUGGAACUGCGAAUGGCUCAUUAUAUCAGUUAUAGUUUAUUUGGUGAAGUGUACUACUUGGAUAACCGUAGUAAUUCUAGGGCUAAUACAUGAGAAAGUCCUCUGGUGAGGUGUGUUUAUUAGAAUGAAAACCAUAUGCUUCGGCAUGAUAGUGAGUAAUAGUAACCUAUCGUAUCGCAUGCUUAAUGUAGCGAUGAGUCUUUCAAGUUUCUGCCCUAUCAGCUUUCGAUGGUAGUAUAUGGACCUACCAUG